ACGCUCGACACCUACGGGAGGCAGCAGUUGGGAAUAUUGGACAAUGGAGGAAACUCUGAUCCAGUGACGCCGCGUGAAGGAAGAAGGUCUUCGGAUUGUAAACUUAUUUUGUCAGGGAAGAAAAAUGACUGUACCUGAAGAAAAAGCACCGGCUAACUACGUGCCCGCAGCCGCGGUAAUCUGAGCGGGCUGGCAAGGC
This 199-nucleotide ribosomal RNA is filed under the name uncultured bacterium. Its description in RNAcentral is "partial 16S ribosomal RNA". It matches the Rfam family "Bacterial small subunit ribosomal RNA", at positions 328 to 539 of the family's 1533-position model. The record is from RNAcentral.